AGCAGUCGCCGCGGUAAUACGGAGGGGGCUAGCGUUGUUCGGAAUUACUGGGCGUAAAGCGCACGUAGGCGGCUUGGUAAGUUAGAGGUGAAAGCCCGGAGCUCAACUCCGGAAUUGCCUUUAAGACUGCCGAGCUAGUAGGUGAGAGAGGUAGGUGGAAUUCCGAGUGUAGAGGUGAAAUUCGUAGAUAUUCGGAAGAACACCAGUGGCGAAGGCGGCUUACUGGCUCAUUCUAGACGCUGAGGUGCGAAAGCGUGGGGAGCAAACAGGAUUAGAUACCCGCGUAGUCCCUGUCUCUUAUAC
RNAcentral lists this ribosomal RNA (303 nucleotides) under uncultured bacterium. Its description in RNAcentral is "partial 16S ribosomal RNA". It matches the Rfam family "Bacterial small subunit ribosomal RNA", at positions 507 to 807 of the family's 1533-position model. The record is from RNAcentral.